This is a long non-coding RNA of Vigna unguiculata (cowpea), 499 nucleotides long. Lineage: Eukaryota; Viridiplantae; Streptophyta; Magnoliopsida; Fabales; Fabaceae. The record is from RefSeq and is a predicted model, not a curated record.
UUCUUUUGUUUCUACUUUGUAUGUCAGGAUUCAUCCAAAAUUGAAGCCCUUAUGAAAAAGGGCGAGGAAUCCACUGAUUUGAUACCAAAACUUGAGGACAAUAUUCCAAAACUGCAAAAGUUAUUGCUUGAUGAGGAGAAGAUCUUGCAUGAAAUCACAAAGAGUUCCAAAGGCUACCAAUGAUAUGGACAAAAGGCCAUUUUCCAUGAGUAUCUCAUUUUAUAAAGGUUGUUCUGGUAGUUGAAAACUUGAUGGUUAACAUUGCAUUCACCAUUGUUUUGGUUAUCCAAGAUCACUAGCAUGUAAUCUUUACAGAAUGGAAAUGUUCAAGGAGUACUAAUAGAGAUUGAAGAAAGUCUUAUAAUUGUUGUAAGUCUCCCUUAUUGAUUCUUUCUAUAUAUUCAUGCUAAGAAUUUGAUUUUGGCCUAUGUUGAUACCUGUUUAAUGUAUUUCCAACCAUCAUUUUAACCGUGCAAGGAUUGCUACAACAUUGCAACUA